UUCACUUACAGUAAAUAUUAUACAGCCGAGGUUCUUUAAGAAACCAAAAUCUGACUCAAUAUAUUGUACUCACAAGAUUCAAGCUAAAGGCCCAACCUAUAUGCACUGGGUUCAAACAUUCUUCAUUUUCAAUUUGCUCUUCUCAGAAAGCUGUGUGCGAAUAUGAACAAGUUUCUUUCUACCCAUGCCCUUGGCUCAACAUUUGGGAUGUCAUUGAACUUCAGAGGGACUUCUCUUCUUUGGUUUUAUCAUGAAUCCUGGAAUGAAAGCCAGCUGCCGAUAACAAUGGCUCUUUCCCAUCAGAAUACAUAGCAUCUAACUGGACCAAGAACUUCGCACAAAGAUUGACAUAGGGUAAGUACAUUUUACGAAUUAGUUUGUUAUUAAGAUGCAUUAUAUCCUAACAUGCUAUAUAUCAGAUUGAAUAUGUCAUAUACUUACCGC
This 444-nucleotide long non-coding RNA is filed under the name Rattus norvegicus (Norway rat). RNAcentral's name for it is "long non-coding RNA NONRATT031783". The record is from RNAcentral. Lineage: Eukaryota; Metazoa; Chordata; Mammalia; Rodentia; Muridae.